UGCGAAAAGAAGCAACAGCCGCUCCCCCGGAGCCCAGAAAAGUGGACGCCGCGUCCCGGCCGCCCGCCUGCGCCGGGGAUGCGGCGGCGGCGGCGGCUAACGGUCCAGCGAGGCGGCAGGGGCGGCGGGAGCCGCUAGGCGGAGAGACCAGUUUUCUCAGUUGGAGCUCCUCGCCUCUGUGCCUGGAAGGAGUUGCAGGUGUGUGUGGGGAGAGAGUGGUCACCCACAUGGCCCCGGCGCAGCUCGGGGGGCCCCCAGAAUUCCACACACGUGGUGAGACAGGUGUCCCUACAGCUACGUCACUACGUCUGUGAGACAGGCGUCACUUUGUCUACGUCACUACGCCUGUGUUACAGGCAUCACGCGGAAUGAGGGUGCAAGAACUGCCACCUGGCUUCCUCUGAACCACUGCCACGUGCGUCGUCCCCAUGUUGCUCCAGACGCUGGGGACGGCCGAGCUCCGGGGCCGGUCAGCCUCCAAGGAGAAGACCUCGGCACCGUGACCUCAGGGCCACGCAGAAGAUGCCUGCCCUUCCAGAUCCUUCAAUGGGGGACAAAGGCUUUCAUUCCUCCAGCAGAGGUGGGGCUGCAGUGCGAACCAGAGCUUCCCAACCUCUGUGCCAGUUGUCAGUGUGUCGACAAACUGGUCUCCUCGGGUGUCGGGCACCUCGGCAGGGCCUGGAGCCUCCCUCCUCAUCCCUCUCCGUGGUCCCUGAGAUGGUGCAAGUAUUACCACUCCCUGUGACAGCCACGACAUGCAGACAGUCUGAAUGACAGCAGAUGGUCCUAGUGAGGAGAUCCUGGUGAGGAUGGGCCCGAGUUCCGCCGGAGGCAACUCCGCCCCUCAGCUUUUUAGCCAGAGCAUCACUACCGGCCGGAGGGGCGGCCGGGUGCAGGGCUGGGGGCUCUGCUUCAUCCCCGGGGCGCCAGGCGGACCUGAGCCCUGUGGGCCCCACCGAGCUUUUGAAGUGGAAGGUUCCCCAUUAUUCUAACCACCCCAGAAUCCUCCCUGGCCGCCUUUCUUUUUCUCCAGUUUCACCCAAGGGUAGAGUUGGCCCCGGCCAGCAUCAUGCCCUCCGCCUUCUCUGGCCCUGUGCUGGGAACUCAGAAGCAGGUGUGGGAGCCCGUGGCUGUGCCCUUAGCCGCAGGUCGCAGGGGACACGGCCUCCGUUAGCACGCCGCAGGAAGGCUCCAGAACUAACAACCACGCUCGGCUUUGGGGGGUUUACAAAACACAUACUGCCCCCCAAAACUGCAGGGAUAUUUUAAAAUUCAAAUGGGUUAUAUUUUCUAAGCAAGAGCUACAUUGUUUUCCCAAAAGCAGUUUUCAGACAUUUCAAAAACUUUAGCUGGUGAGUCAAAAAUCUCCUUUUACUCCUUCUGUUUUCUCUCGCUCUGAAAAUACAUACGUAUGUUUACAUAAGCACGCGCCACGCUUGGAGGCGUAUCUUCUAGGAUGUAGAUAACAAAGGCGAGUGCGGCGGUUGGAAUCCAGGCGCUUGGAAGAGAUGGGUCUGUGCUCUGCGUCCCAGCACAGCGUUUAGCACUCUGUUACGUAUGGAGCGUGUGUUCCCCUCACGUGCACCCUCGUCUUCCCCUGCGCUCGCUGACCUGACCCGAGGCGGCUGGGCUGACGUCCCGUGCUCGCAGCAAGUGCUUGGAGAGUUCCCAAGGCCGGCAAGUCAAAUGUUGCGGCCAGGUCAUCGCCUGUUUCCAGCAAAAUGAGUUCCUAUCCAUUUAGGCCCGUCUUACUGCUCUUUGUUAUAACUAUUGCCAAGGAGAAACGAGCAGGUUUGGGUACCACAAGGCAAAAUAAUAUUUGAGAUUUUAACAUAUGCUUAUUUCUUAAUAUUGUAAGCACCCUAUUGUGAUUUGGGGACUUUUGUGUUAGUCUUCGAUCCUUCUCCCACAGAGUCCGGGAGGACUGGGUGCCCUGGCCUUGGCCUUGGGAUGCGCGGUCUCACUCCCCGUGCACAGAGGCGGCGUCCUUUGCACACGACGGGGCUGAGUGGAGGCUCCAAGCUCGUGUGGCCUGAGACAUUCCAUCGCAGAGGCUCUCCUAGCAACAUGGCGAUGCCAGCAAACCCAACAAUGCCCUUUUGUCGUUAGCUCUAUAAAGCCUGUGGCAUGAGUCUCACCAGAAAAUUCAAAAGAUAUUUUGCAAGCGAAGAGCGAUUUCCAGCUGAAGCUUUGAAUCGGUUGCUUUCCUCCAACCUGCAAAUAUCAAACUGGACCGGCACCAACUUGUCGCCUCAAGAGCAGGACGUACCCAAAGAGGAUACCAUGUCACCAAAAGAGUCAACAGCCAAUGCCGCGUAAUAAUUUUGUGAAGAUUUGUUUAGUUAAAACUAGAUGAUAUUAUUUGGCAUUCCAUUUCACCAAGAAGAGCUCACUGCAAGUGUUACAAGAUGCUGAAAGCAGAGAUGGCUUUGUCACUUUCUUUCCUGCUGUGGAAUUAGGACUCUGUUUUCCACUGGACCGGAAAUAAGAAAAAAAACGAACGCAGAUCCACAAGCCAGGUCUGGUUUUAAUCAGAGCAUAAUCUUUAUGAGACAACGCGAGGCUGAGAAUUUUUUAAUCUGAUAUUUUGAAAGAAAAAUCCGUGUUCCAAAAUGAUACAAACCAAUCAGCCUUAGAAGAACGAUGGAAAAAAGAAAUCUCUUGCAUAAAAGAGAAGCAGGAAAUUCCAGAGAAGUUUCACAGGGAGGAGGGGAAAACCCAAGAACCCUCAGUGUCUGCUUCAACUGAUCGGAUGAGGCUCACCCGCAUCAUCAAGGGUAAUCUCCCUCCAAAGUCAG
Balaenoptera ricei (Rice's whale) is the source of this 2798-nucleotide long non-coding RNA. RefSeq lists it as uncharacterized. The record is from RefSeq and is a predicted model, not a curated record. NCBI's taxonomy places the organism in Eukaryota, Metazoa, Chordata, Mammalia, Artiodactyla, Balaenopteridae. The transcript has 7 exons.